Molecule: long non-coding RNA, 1010 nt
Organism: Lotus japonicus
Lineage: Eukaryota; Viridiplantae; Streptophyta; Magnoliopsida; Fabales; Fabaceae
Exons: 4
Source: RefSeq, a predicted model, not a curated record
UCCCUUCAGCAUUAGCAUUUUGAUGUUUCACGUUUUAGUUUUUCUCCACUUCCACCUCUUCUAAAGGCGUCGCCCACUUUUCCCCUCACGACUUCCGUUUUUGUUUUUCCUUUCAUAGCUUCCGUUUCGUUGCAGCAUAUAUUUCCCUGGCCGUUUCAUACCUUUCAUUUGGUUUUUCAUUCUCUUCUUUGGACAUGAUGCUUACAAGUUCUGGUGUAGGGCUUUUUCCUUUGCUGAAAUCAUCAAUCAAUCAGCUCUCGAAGGAGAAGGAGAAGGGGAAAAAAUCCACGUACAAAGAGCGCGUAGUACUGUUGUGAUUACGGCGAGAGUGAGACCAUAUGGCUUGGUCCUCACUGCUGCUUACUGUUGUAGGAGGAGCAAGCCUUUCAGAUGCACUAAGUCGAUGCUGCCUUUCUCUCUUUUUGGUUCGCUUCUCCUUGAUUCACUCACAGGUAACAACACCGUAGAAGAGGAUAAAGAUGUUUGGAAAUCCAAGUUCCAGACAAUUGUCCAGAAAUCAUUAUCUCUUCAUUUCUCUGUUGAUCUAGUGGGAACUGAGAUUAUGUAGUGAGGAUUAUUCAUGGUUUUCAACAAAAGAUGCGGCUUGGUUUCCUCUUCUUUUCAGGAACAGGGAUGAAGAAGAGUUGUGUGGUAAACAUGUUGCUUUUUGGCACAACUCAGCUCCCCAACCCAAGGCUUUGAACAAUUUACUGCCAUAUAUGCACUCCAUUGCCUAUUUGUUGCUUCCUUCGCAUUGGUUCCGCCUUUCUUCCCAACUGGAUCAUUCGAGUGAAAAGAAGAAGGAGAUGUAACAACUGCCUUCACCCUUGCAAGAAUGCUGUCAAAUAUUCUCAACAUUAUUAUAUGACAACUAGAUGGCUUUAUAUGGACUAGAUAGAAUAUGAGAAAUAUUGAUGUCAAAUAAAUAAGAGAAAAUAAAGCUUUCAUUAAUGAUCCUUUCAAUGUUUGGCCAUUAUCCAUUAUAAUCAAAUUCAGUUUGUGAAACCUCA